GUGGGUCCAGCUCAGUGGUAAAGCAUGUGCUUAGCAUGCACAAGGUCCUGGGUUCCAGCCUCAGUACCUCCA
RNAcentral lists this transfer RNA (72 nucleotides) under Camelus bactrianus (Bactrian camel). It matches the Rfam family "tRNA". Rfam says of the family: Transfer RNA (tRNA) molecules are approximately 80 nucleotides in length. Their secondary structure includes four short double-helical elements and three loops (D, anti-codon, and T loops). Lineage: Eukaryota; Metazoa; Chordata; Mammalia; Artiodactyla; Camelidae. The record is from Rfam by way of RNAcentral. RNAcentral also lists the same sequence under 2 other names.